This 265-nucleotide unclassified non-coding RNA is filed under the name Hevea brasiliensis (rubber tree). The record is from RNAcentral. Lineage: Eukaryota; Viridiplantae; Streptophyta; Magnoliopsida; Malpighiales; Euphorbiaceae.
UCUUUCCAAACUCAAUAAUUAAAUGAAAAGCAAAAAAAGUCAGCUUUGCACCAAUAAGCAACAAUUGAUAGUUUCAACAGAUACAUAAUUCACAUUCUUGAUUAUGAAGAAAUAUUACUUCUCAAGUUUCUUAGCAUGCAGUUGACAACUCACAACCAAGCCACCACCACUGUUGAAAUGAUUGUAUAACACAACCCACUAUAAUGUGCUGUAAAUCAGAACACAACACAAGCAUAGAAAUAAUAUAGAAAAAUGGGAAUGUGAG